This is a long non-coding RNA of Momordica charantia (bitter melon), 397 nucleotides long. RefSeq lists it as uncharacterized. Lineage: Eukaryota; Viridiplantae; Streptophyta; Magnoliopsida; Cucurbitales; Cucurbitaceae. The record is from RefSeq and is a predicted model, not a curated record.
AAUGGCAUCGGUGGUGUAGUGAGCUUGGACGACUUAGACAACAACCUCAGUGGUGGGAGACUUGAGAGAGUCAAGAUGGGGGAGGUCGUUCUCAGAGGAAAUAGUGUACCUGAUGACAGGUGUGGAAUGUCCCUUUUAUAAGCAGGCAAGGAGACAAAGUCGUUGAGGUUGUUACGACCAGCGGUUACGGCUGUUGGGCCCCCAGGUCGGUGGUCGGACAUGAGGUCGGAUCCUUUAGGUCGAGCAAAAUACAACAAAUAUAACGUAGAGUUGUGUUGUUAGUUCGUGAGAAAAUAAAGCAUUUGGAUAUGAAAUUGGGGCUAGGUAUAUUUGGGUAUGGCUCCAGUUAUUGGAAAUAUUUUACUUUUUUGAAGUUUUAAGUUUAAUUCUAGAGGGA